This 38-nucleotide ribosomal RNA is filed under the name Fusarium oxysporum. RNAcentral's name for it is "partial 28S ribosomal RNA". RNAcentral also lists the same sequence under 7 other names. The record is from RNAcentral. Lineage: Eukaryota; Fungi; Ascomycota; Sordariomycetes; Hypocreales; Nectriaceae.
UGACCUCGGAUCAGGUAGGAAUACCCGCUGAACUUAAG